CGGGAUAAGAGAUAGAGGAGAGCGGCCGUGAAAAGCAGAAGAAUAACAUUAUAACCUAAGGGCAACAAUCAUCAUGAUCCGAAGGUCUCAAGGAGAUCAUCGAAGAGAUUAACAAUCGCCUUUCCUAUCGCAUCCGGCCGUCAAAACCUAGAAAAGUAACAAGAAUUGGUUAAACAUGCCAUUUAAUUAUUUUAAGCAACUGUUUCUUUUGAUUGUAUAUAUCAUCUAGAGAUUCCAAUUUCUUUUUCUUUUUUUUUUAAAUUCAAGAAAUAGGAAACGGUUAUUUUAUUAGUCAAACUCAAGGCGGCCUGGGUAACCAUACCAGAAUAUAACAACCAACAAAACAAAGAUUUGUAGACAUUUUUGCUAAUGAAUCUGCAACUCCAUUGUGCACACAAGGGACAAAUACUAUUGAGGAUUUCCCGAGAUUUCCUUUUAGCCUUGCAAUUUUUGGAUCUUGAAUCAUUUUGAUUAGCUGCCGACCAUCUGUUCCAAAAAUCACACGUUGAAUGUUUAAUCAUACUCUCCGUAGACCAUAAGUGUCUCAACUUCAGAAUGGAAUGGAGAUAAAUAUGCAUUGGUUUUUAGACCGUUGAAGCUAUGUUCUUCCAUUCAUCAUUUUCCAUACCCACCCACAUUCACUGAAAGGUGUAUCAUG
This 658-nucleotide long non-coding RNA is filed under the name Brassica rapa (field mustard). RNAcentral's name for it is "long non-coding RNA (BRAP_LNC007627)". The record is from RNAcentral. Lineage: Eukaryota; Viridiplantae; Streptophyta; Magnoliopsida; Brassicales; Brassicaceae.